GACGAAGGGGGCUAGCGUUGUUCGGAAUUACUGGGCGUAAAGCGCGCGUAGGCGGUUGUCCAAGUUGGAUGUGAAAGCCUUGAGCUUAACUCAAGAAAUGCAUUCAGGACUGGAUGACUAGAGGACCGGAGAGGAUAGUGGAAUUCCCAGUGUAGUGGUGAAAUACGUAGAGAUUGGGAAGAACACCAGUGGCGAAGGCGGCUAUCUGGACGGUUUCUGACGCUAAGACGCGAAAGCGUGGGGAGCAAACAGG
This 253-nucleotide ribosomal RNA is filed under the name uncultured bacterium. RNAcentral describes it as "partial 16S ribosomal RNA". It matches the Rfam family "Bacterial small subunit ribosomal RNA", at positions 524 to 776 of the family's 1533-position model. The record is from RNAcentral.